Acyrthosiphon pisum (pea aphid) is the source of this 994-nucleotide long non-coding RNA. RefSeq lists it as uncharacterized. NCBI's taxonomy places the organism in Eukaryota, Metazoa, Arthropoda, Insecta, Hemiptera, Aphididae. The transcript is spliced from 4 exons. The record is from RefSeq and is a predicted model, not a curated record.
GAUUUGGUUGAUCCAGACGAAAAUAUAAAACUCUAAAAAUGCAAUUUCAAUCAAAUUUAGGAAAUAUAAUUAAAAAAUAACAAUGUUGACACUUGAAACGAAAAACGAAAUCAACUCACGAAACACGUACUUACAUUUUAAUUAGUUCGUGAUACGUGAAAAACGAUCAGGAAAUAGUUCGUAUCCAGUGCGUUAUAAAAUAUAAUUUUGUCGUCAGUAAACAAUAAAUAGCGACAAUAUUAUAAAGGUCCAACUAUACGUCGUACAAGUUCAACGGAGUGUUAUUAUUGUUUUUAAUAAUGGUCAUUGGUCAUUACGAUUUACGUUCUAUCAUAUUUCCGGACUUCGUGCCAUAAUAUCAUAUUAUAAAUUAAAUAUAAUUCUUACGUAUAUCUAUUUUUUUUACAGUGUUUAGAACACCAGUUGAUUUAUACCGAACUUUACAUAUGAAAGUCGUGUACAAAGGACGUUUGGAUUCGACAACUCAAAAUCAAAAUAUAAAUAUGGAAAAUUCGGACCGAUUGAGGAAACUACAAACGGCUUAGAAGUUCAUCAGUCUAGAAGGUGAAGAGAAAAAUUCAUAUUUACAGAAAUAUAGUUGACCUAACCACACAGCCAUGAUACAGUUCAUAGACAAAAUCUCGGCAAGACGGUCAAAAUAUGUUCAAGUCAAUUAAGUUUAUUUGAUGUAACUUAUGUAACUACGACUGGACCACAGCUCAAAUUAUAUUCAAUGUAUAGCUGGACCAGCAGAAUCUAUUGUAAAAAUAUCGAUAAAACAUAAUAUCCAUAUCUCGGUGUUCUCUAUCUCUGACGUAAUCUGGCACUGAACCAAUCUGUCAAGGAUAUGCACCUAACACACAUUGCAUGGAUACGAGAUAUAACUAGACCUACAUUUCAAUAUUUCAGAUAACAACGUUGAUCGUUUUGGCGUUUUCAAAGGAUUUGAUUUGGGAGUCAUUUAUGCCACAAGAUAAAAACGUCAAUCGAAGGC